AAUUAUGGUUUAUUUAUUUAUUAUUUAUUAUGUUGAAGUACAUUGUAAAUUUUCUUUUCGCAAGUAGGAAGCUUUGGCUGGCAUGGGUUCUUUGAGUUCAAUAAAAAGGUAGAAAUGAGAAAGAAUGACAUGCUUUGCUGCCAACCAUUGCAUUAGUGGCCAACUCAUCCAUACAUUGCAUAUUAGCAUAUAAAAAGUGGCAAUUUUGUCAGUUCCUGUGGCUGCUGCUUUUGCUAAUAUAACCAUCAACAGAUUAAUACAGAUAUCUAAUGAUAAAAAACACUUAACUCAAAAGCUGCAAAGAUAGUCAGCAGCAGCAGCAACAAAGGCAGACAUAAAAAGCUUUCUAGCUGCAUCCGUGGAUUCAAUUCAACUUAAAAGCUCCAAAGUUUGAGCUAGCUUUUGGAGUUUGGAUAAAAACAAAGUUCCUUCAUGCGCCUCAGAAUCCACUAUCUGCAGAUUAAUGGCAACAGAAGCUGAUAUUCCAGAAGCUAUAUCUGUCACGGACCAAGCGGCAGCUUUAGACUGGAAGAUGACUGAGAUUGCACAACUGGAGAGAAACAAGUGCUCAUCAUGUCAAAGGAACCCCUAUUUGUUGCACUGGGACAUGACUGAGGAGUUGGACAAGUUACAUUGUUCCCGUACAAGAGCUGUUGCUCCUCGCGAAUUGUCAAAACUUCAUUAUCAUUCUUUGCAACGUGUUAUACUGCCAAUUCUGCUUCCAAAAAACCUUUGCUUGUAUCCUCAGACUCCAUAUAAGCAUAAG
This is a long non-coding RNA of Prunus avium (sweet cherry), 766 nucleotides long. RefSeq lists it as uncharacterized. Lineage: Eukaryota; Viridiplantae; Streptophyta; Magnoliopsida; Rosales; Rosaceae. The record is from RefSeq and is a predicted model, not a curated record.